This 485-nucleotide long non-coding RNA is filed under the name Parus major (Great Tit). RNAcentral's name for it is "lncRNA (ENSPMJG00000009669.1)". Lineage: Eukaryota; Metazoa; Chordata; Aves; Passeriformes; Paridae. The record is from RNAcentral.
CCUCCCUGAGGCCGCUCGGCCGCUGCUGCCCCCCCGCUCGCCCUCAGCCGCGGCCAAAGCCCCUCGGCCCCGGGUCAGAGCGCUUGGAAAGGCGGCUCUGCCCGCCCUGCGGGUGUCGGGAAUGGCUCGGGAGCGAGGGGAUCCCCGGGCCCUCAGCGCCCGCGGCUGCCCGGGGGGAGAGCGGCUCUAGCUCCCAACGUGGGUUUUGUAACCGGGACCGGGAAACGUUUUUUGUGUCAAUGGAUUCGCUGCUGGACCAUCCCAUCAGUGCAACUCGUUUGAUUUCAGGUCUGCUGUGGACUGGGGCGAUGGCGCAAUUACAGAUUCGAGUGAUGUUUUAUUUUUUCUCAGGUGAGAAAAAUAUAAGACCACCUCUUGUAGUGGCCCUUUCAGUCUUGGCUGCAGGACUAAAUUUUGCCUGGAACUCUGCAGUAUCCAAGGCUCAGGUUUUAUAUUCAGGUUGGUACCACCAGCAGCAACCUUGA